RNAcentral lists this ribosomal RNA (402 nucleotides) under bacterium. RNAcentral's name for it is "partial 16S ribosomal RNA". It matches the Rfam family "Bacterial small subunit ribosomal RNA", at positions 355 to 776 of the family's 1533-position model. The record is from RNAcentral.
UGGGGAAUUUUGCACAAUGGGGGAAACCCUGAUGCAGCGACGCCGCGUGAUUUAGAAGGCCUUCGGGUUGUAAAAAUCUUUUCUAUGGGAAGAAAAUGACAGUACCAUAGGAAUAAGGACCGGCUAAUUACGUGCCAGCAGCCGCGGUAAUACGUAAGGUCCGAGCGUUGUCCGGAAUCAUUGGGCGUAAAGGGUACGUAGGCGGGUAAGCAAGUUAGAAGUGAAAUCCUAUAGCUCAACUAUAGUAAGCUUUUAAAACUGAUCAUCUUGAGGUAUGGAAGGGAAAGUGGAAUUCCUAGUGUAGCGGUGAAAUGCGCAGAUAUUAGGAGGAAGACCGGUGGCGAAGGCGACUUUCUGGCCAUAACCUGACGCUGAGGUACGAAAGCGUGGGUAGCAAACAGG